RNAcentral lists this ribosomal RNA (512 nucleotides) under Leptochiton aequispinus. Its description in RNAcentral is "partial 16S ribosomal RNA". It matches the Rfam family "Bacterial large subunit ribosomal RNA", at positions 1817 to 2600 of the family's 2925-position model. Lineage: Eukaryota; Metazoa; Mollusca; Polyplacophora; Lepidopleurida; Lepidopleuridae. The record is from RNAcentral.
GGCUCUUUGGUAAUAAAAUAUAAGGAGUCGUACCUGCCCAGUGAAAUUUAAUUAAACGGCCGCAGUACCCUGACUGUGCAAAGGUAGCAUAAUCACUUGCCUUAUAAUUGGAGGCUGGAAUGAAUGGUUUGACGUAGGCUAAACUGUCUCUUUCUUAUUAAAUAGAAAUUAUUUUUUAGGCGCAGAAUCCUUAAUAAAACUGAUAGACGAAAAGACCCUAUUGAGCUUUAAUAAUAAAAAAAAAUUAGAUUAAUUUAUUUAGAUUGUAUUUUUAAAAUUAUUUUUGUUGGGGCGACAGAAGAACAAAUAUAGCUUCUUUUUAUUUAUUAAAUUUAUUGAUUUUUUGAUCCAUUAUUUGUGAUUAGAAGAAGAAGUUACCAUAGGGAUAACAGCGUAAUCUUUCUGGAGAGUUCUUAUCGAAAGAAAGGGUUGCGACCUCGAUGUUGGAUUAAGAUAACUAUUUGGUGUAGUAGCUAAAAAAAGUUGGUCUGUUCGACCAUUAAAUUCUUACA